Molecule: ribosomal RNA, 410 nt
Filed under: uncultured microorganism
Description: bacterial SSU rRNA
Rfam family: Archaeal small subunit ribosomal RNA
Source: RNAcentral
GUGCAGCAGGCGCGAAACUUCACACUGUGCGAAAGCACGAUGAGGGAAUCCCAAGUGCUUGCACGUAAGUGUAAGCUGUUCUCUGUUUAAACGCAGAGAGAGUAAGGGCUGGGUAAGACGGGUGCCAGCCGCCGCGGUAAUACCUGCAGCUCAAGUGGUGACCGUUAUUAUUGGGCCUAAAACGUCCGUAGCCGGUUUAAUAAAUGCCUGGGUAAAUCGUGUAGCUUAACUAUACGAAUUCCGGGUAGACUGUUAAACUCGAGACCGGGAGAAGUUAGAGGUACUCCUGGGGUAGAGGUGAAAUUCUGUAAUCCUAGGGGACCACCAGUGGCGAAGGCGUCUAACUAGAACGGGUCUGACGGUGAGGGACGAAGCCCUGGGGCGCAAACGGGAUUAGAUACCCCUGUAGU